UGGUGAUAACUGCUACUGGUACAUGGCCCAU
This 31-nucleotide non-coding RNA is filed under the name Mus musculus (house mouse). Lineage: Eukaryota; Metazoa; Chordata; Mammalia; Rodentia; Muridae. RNAcentral also lists the same sequence under 1 other name. The record is from RNAcentral.